GAAAUGCGAUACUUGGUGUGAAUUGCAGAAUCCCGCGAAUCAUCGAGUUUUUGAACGCAAGUUGCGCCCGAAGCCAUUCGGCCGAGGGCACGUCUGCCUGGGUGUCACGCAUCGUUGCCCCCCCAAACUCCGGUUCGGGCGGGGCGGAAGUUGGCCUCCCGUGCGCGCCUGCGCGCGCGGUUAGCCCAAAAGCGAGUCCUCGGCGACGAGCGCCACGACAAUCGGUGGUUUUUCGACCCUCGUUCCACGUCGUGCGCGCCCCGUCGCCCGAACUCUUGCGACCCUUACGCGUUGCCUCGGCGACGCUACCAACGCGACCCCAGGUCAGGCGGGACUACCCGCUGAGGUUAAGC
This 353-nucleotide unclassified non-coding RNA is filed under the name plant metagenome. RNAcentral describes it as "partial contains 5.8S ribosomal RNA, internal transcribed spacer 2, and large subunit ribosomal RNA". The stretch from base 1 to 107 matches the Rfam family "5.8S ribosomal RNA", at positions 50 to 154 of the family's 154-position model. The record is from RNAcentral.